UCCAAGCGUGCUCACAGUGGGGACCAGGCAAGAUCGUGGACGCCGUGAUUCAGGAGCACCAGCCCUCCGUGCUGCUGGAGCUGGGGGCCUACUGUGGCUACUCAGCUGUGCGCAUGGCCCGCCUGCUGUCACCAGGGGCGAGGCUGCUCACCAUCGAGAUCAACCCUGACUUCGCCGCCGUCACCCAGCGGAUGGUGGAUUUCGCUGGCGUGCAGGACAAGGUCACCCUUGUGGUUGGGGCGUCCCAGGACAUCAUUCCCCAGCUGAAGAAGAAGUAUGACGUGGACACGCUGGACAUGGUCUUCCUCGACCACUGGAAGGACCGGUACCUGCCGGACACGCUUCUCCUGGAGG
This 354-nucleotide small RNA is filed under the name Pongo abelii (Sumatran orangutan). RNAcentral's name for it is "processed transcript". The record is from RNAcentral. Lineage: Eukaryota; Metazoa; Chordata; Mammalia; Primates; Hominidae.